Long non-coding RNA from Chrysoperla carnea, 399 nucleotides. RefSeq lists it as uncharacterized. The record is from RefSeq and is a predicted model, not a curated record. The transcript has 3 exons. NCBI's taxonomy places the organism in Eukaryota, Metazoa, Arthropoda, Insecta, Neuroptera, Chrysopidae.
AUCGAAUCUGAAAGAAUAAAAUUUGACGGAAAAAAAAAGGAUGCUCUAGGAUUGCGUAGUAGUCUGUGAAAGACUACAACUCUAUGGUCAAUAUCGGUGAAAUGUCAAAUUAUUUGACAACAACAAAGACGCAUAAUUUACAAAUAUGUCAUUAAAGAAAAUCAUUAAAUGUUUUAAAAAUGAUAUGAAAACUAAAAAUCACAAAUACAAACAAAUACACAUGGUUACAUAACCUCGUCGUUCCAUGCAUAGGUAAAUCUCCAACUACGUACGAUACGGAUUGGGUUGACAAGUAAUAAAAGCCGUAAAGCCCCGUGCCUGAAAAAUCUUAGCAAACCACCACAGGAUACUGACCGAUACACAACCAAAAAACAAACAACACCAGCCGUUGAUGGAAGG